AGCGUAGGUGGCUUGAUAAGUCAGAUGUGAAAGCCCCGGGCUCAACCUGGGAACGGCAUCUGAUACUGUUAGGCUAGAGUAGGUGAGAGGAAGGUAGAAUUCCAGGUGUAGCGGUGAAAUGCGUAGAGAUCUGGAGGAAUACCGAUGGCGAAGGCAGCCUUCUGGCAUCAUACUGACACUGAGGUUCGAAAGCGUGGGUAGCAAACAGGAUUAGAUACCCUGGUAGUCCACGCCGUAAACGAUGUCUACUAGUCGUUGGGUCCCUUGAGGACUUAGUGACGCAGCUAACGCAAUAAGUAGACCGCCUGGGGAGUACGGCCGCAAGGCUAAAACUCAAAUGAAUUGACGGGGGCCCGCACAAGCGGUGGAGCAUGUGGUUUAAUUCGAUGCAACGCGAAGAACCUUACCUGGUCUUGACAUAUCUAGAGUCCUGCAGAGAUGCGGGAGUGCCUUCGGGAAUUAGAAUACAGGUGCUGCAUGGCUGUCGUCAGCUCGUGUCGUGAGAUGUUGGGUUAAGUCCCGCAACGAGCGCAACCCUUGUCCUUAGUUACCAGCGGUUUGGCCGGGAACUCUAAGGAUACUGCCAGUGACAAACUGGAGGAAGGCGGGGACGACGUCAAGUCAUCAUGGCCCUUACGACCAGGGCUACACACGUGCUACAAUGGUAGGUACAGAGGGCAGCUACACAGCGAUGUGAUGCGAAUCUCAAAAAGCCUAUCGUAGUCCAGAUUGGAGUCUGCAACUCGACUCCAUGAAGUAGGAAUCGCUAGUAAUCGCGGAUCAGAAU
RNAcentral lists this ribosomal RNA (787 nucleotides) under uncultured Pseudomonadota bacterium. RNAcentral's name for it is "bacterial SSU rRNA". It matches the Rfam family "Bacterial small subunit ribosomal RNA", at positions 568 to 1355 of the family's 1533-position model. The record is from RNAcentral. Lineage: Bacteria; Pseudomonadati; Pseudomonadota.